UAAAGUUGCGCUUGAUAAUCUAGUUGAUAAGUCCCUCGUACAUGUAAGAUUGAAUAUUGUCGUGAUGCACACUUUGUUACAAAAACUAGGCAAGGAGAUCGUUAAUGCACAGUCCAAGAGUCCUGGAAAACGGGAAUUUCUUGUGGAUUCGAGGGAUAUCUGCAAUAUACUUGAAGAUACUACUGGUACUAAUAAGGUUUUAGGUAUAUCUUUAAAUAUGGAUGAGAUCGAUGAGUUGCAUGUACAUGAGAAUGCCUUCAAAGGGAUGCAUAAUCUCCUUUUCCUAAAAUUUUUCUCAAAUAAAUACAUGCUUGGGGAAAAGGUCAGACAGCACUGACCCGAUAGCUUCGACCAUUUGCCCCCUAAACUCAGAUUAUUGUGGUGGGACGGAUAUCCAAUGAAAAGUAUGCCUUCUAAUUUUCGACCUGAAAAACUCGUCAAGCUGAAAAUGGAGAAUAGCAAGCUCGAAAAGUUGUGGGAAGGAACUCGGAGGCCUAGAUGUCUCAGGGAGAUUAACUUGUGGGGAUCUGAAAAUCUAAAAGAAAUCCCAGAUCUUUCAAUGGCCACCAGUCUAGAGAAACUUUAUCUUGGGAAUUGCUUGAGUUGGGUGGCGGUUCCUUCCUCUAUUCGGAAGUUCAAUGAACUGACAGAGUUGGGAAUGUUAGAAUGCAGAAAUCUGGAAGCUCUUCCAA
Molecule: non-coding RNA, 692 nt
Organism: Camelina sativa (false flax)
Lineage: Eukaryota; Viridiplantae; Streptophyta; Magnoliopsida; Brassicales; Brassicaceae
Source: RefSeq, a predicted model, not a curated record